UGUAUAUGCCCAUGGGGGUUACCUGUCCUGAAUAAACAACCGUCCCCGCAGGGCCCUGGUGUUCCCCAUCCACCCACCCCACCUCAGCUCUCUGACUCAGGGGCUACAAGGCCUCCUGCUCCUGAGAGGAGAUGAAUACACCCAAUCAAACCAGUGCUCUCUGUCCUGGCCCUGUAUCAACCCGCUGAAGAAUGGCAGCAAAUCAGUAGUUUGAUUAUGUAAAGUAAAAGUAAGUAUUGAUGUUAUGUUUAGUUAGUUAACGACUGACUGAGGGAUGGGCCGUGUGGAGGAACAUGAUAGGUGCAGGGCAGAGCGUACCCCUUUAUAAUGGUUACAGGGCAGAGUAUACCCCCUUCAACUACACUGUAGUAUAGAGAUGGGAUUAGGUAUCUAUUGUGAUGGAGUAGAAAGCCCCUGGACUCUCAGG
This 427-nucleotide long non-coding RNA is filed under the name Salmo trutta (river trout). RNAcentral's name for it is "lncRNA (ENSSTUG00000014268.1)". Lineage: Eukaryota; Metazoa; Chordata; Actinopteri; Salmoniformes; Salmonidae. The record is from RNAcentral.